Molecule: small RNA, 155 nt
Filed under: Burkholderia sp.
Lineage: Bacteria; Pseudomonadati; Pseudomonadota; Betaproteobacteria; Burkholderiales; Burkholderiaceae
Source: RNAcentral
CGCGUAGAAUAGUGGCACUGCGAAGCUCGGAAGCCGGUGAAAGCCCGGCGCGGUCGCGCCACUGUAAUUGGCCUUUACUGCCAAAAGCCAGACCUGAGCUUGGCGCACUUCCUCUGUAAUCGACUAUCGGGGCGCGUUACCCCAGGAGAUGUCCG